RNAcentral lists this ribosomal RNA (253 nucleotides) under uncultured bacterium. RNAcentral's name for it is "partial 16S ribosomal RNA". It matches the Rfam family "Bacterial small subunit ribosomal RNA", at positions 524 to 776 of the family's 1533-position model. The record is from RNAcentral.
UACAGAGGUCUUAAGCGUUGUUCGGAUUCAUUGGGCGUAAAGGGUGCGUAGGUGGCUCGCUAAGUCAGGUGUGAAAUUUCGGAGCUUAACUCCGAAACUGCAUUUGAUACUGGCGUGCUUGAGGACUGGAGAGGAGACUGGAAUUUACGGUGUAGCGGUGAAAUGCGUAGAUAUCGUAAGGAAGACCAGUGGCGAAGGCGGGUCUCUGGACAGUUCCUGACGCUGAGGCACGAAGGUCAGGGGAGCAAACGGG